This 492-nucleotide ribosomal RNA is filed under the name uncultured bacterium. RNAcentral describes it as "partial 16S ribosomal RNA". It matches the Rfam family "Bacterial small subunit ribosomal RNA", at positions 29 to 507 of the family's 1533-position model. The record is from RNAcentral.
AGUGAACGCUGGCGGUAGGCCUAACACAUGCAAGUCGAACGGCAGCACAGUAAGAGCUUGCUCUUACGGGUGGCGAGUGGCGGACGGGUGAGGAAUACAUCGGAAUCUACUUUUUCGUGGGGGAUAACGUAGGGAAACUUACGCUAAUACCGCAUAUGACCUACGGGUGAAAGCAGGGGAUCUUCGGACCUUGCGCGAUUGAAUGAGCCGAUGUCGGAUUAGCUAGUUGGCGGGGUAAAGGCCCACCAAGGCGACGAUCCGUAGCUGGUCUGAGAGGAUGAUAGGCCACACUGGAACUGAGACACGGUCCAGACUCCUACGGGAGGCAGCAGUGGGGAAUAUUGGACAAUGGGCGCAAGCCUGAUCCAGCCAUACCGCGUGGGUGAAGAAGGCCUUCGGGUUGUAAAGCCCUUUUGUUGGGAAAGAAAAGCAGCAGGUUAAUACGCCGCUGUUCUGACGGUACCCAAAGAAUAAGCACCGGCUAACUUCGUG